AGAGUUUGAUCAUGGCUCAGAUUGAACGCUGGCGGUAUGCCUUACACAUGCAAGUCGAACGGCAGCACGGGGGCAACCCUGGUGGCGAGUGGCGAACGGGUGAGUAAUACAUCGGAACGUGCCCAGUAGUGGGGGAUAGCUCGGCGAAAGCCGGAUUAAUACCGCAUACGACCUAUGGGUGAAAGCGGGGGAUCGCAAGACCUCGCGCUAUUGGAGCGGCCGAUGUCAGAUUAGGUUGUUGGUGGGGUAAAAGCCCACCAAGCCGACGAUCUGUAGCUGGUCUGAGAGGACGACCAGCCACACUGGGACUGAGACACGGCCCAGACUCCUACGGGAGGCAGCAGUGGGGAAUUUUGGACAAUGGGCGAAAGCCUGAUCCAGCCAUGCCGCGUGCGGGAAGAAGGCCUUCGGGUUGUAAACCGCUUUUGUCAGGGAAGAAAUCUUCCAAGCUAAUACCCUGGGAGGAUGACGGUACCUGAAGAAUAAGCACCGGCUAACUACGUGCCAGCAGCCGCGGUAAUACGUAGGGUGCAAGCGUUAAUCGGAAUUACUGGGCGUAAAGCGUGCGCAGGCGGUUAUGCAAGACAGAUGUGAAAUCCCCGGGCUUAACCUGGGAACUGCAUUUGUGACUGCAUAGCUGGAGUACGGCAGAGGGGGAUGGAAUUCCGCGUAGCAGUGAAAUGCGUAGAUAUGCGGAGGAACACCGAUGGCGAAGGCAUCCCCUGGGCCUGUACUGACGCUCAUGCACGAAAGCGUGGGGAGCAAACAGGAUUAGAUACCCCAGUAGUCC
This 790-nucleotide ribosomal RNA is filed under the name uncultured bacterium. RNAcentral's name for it is "bacterial SSU rRNA". It matches the Rfam family "Bacterial small subunit ribosomal RNA", at positions 8 to 796 of the family's 1533-position model. The record is from RNAcentral.